Molecule: ribosomal RNA, 478 nt
Filed under: uncultured bacterium
Lineage: Bacteria
Description: partial 16S ribosomal RNA
Rfam family: Bacterial small subunit ribosomal RNA
Source: RNAcentral
GAUGAACGCUGGCGGCGUGCUUAACACAUGCAAGUCGAACGAGAAGUGAAGACGAAAACCUUCGGGCGGAAGGCUUUAUUUCGAGUGGCGGACGGGUGAGUAACGCGUGGGUAACCUGCCUCAUACAGGGGGAUAACAGUUGGAAACGACUGUUAAUACCGCAUAAGACCACAGCACCGCAUGGUGCGGGGGUAAAAACUCCGGUGGUAUGAGAUGGACCCGCGUUCGAUUAGCCAGUUGGCGGGGUAACGGCCCACCAAAGCGACGAUCGAUAGCCGAUCUGAGAGGAUGACCGGCCACAUUGGGACUGAGACACGGCCCAAACUCCUACGGGAGGCAGCAGUGGGGAAUAUUGCACAAUGGGGGAAACCCUGAUGCAGCGACGCCGCGUGAGUGAAGAAGUAUUUCGGUAUGUAAAGCUCUAUCAGCAGGGAAGAAAAUGACGGUACCUGAGGAAGAAGCCCCGGCUAACUACGUG